AGUUUGAUCCUGGCUCAGAACGAACGCUGGCGGCAGGCCUAACACAUGCAAGUCGAGCGCGCCCUUCGGGGUGAGCGGCGGACGGGUGAGUAACGCGUGGGGACGUGCCUUUCGGUGCGGGAUAGCCCGGGGAAACCCGGAUUAAUACCGCAUGCGCCCUGAGGGGGAAAGAUUUAUCGCCGAGAGAUCGACCCGCGUUGGAUUAGGUAGUUGGUGGGGUAAUGGCCUACCAAGCCGACGAUCCAUAGCUGGUUUGAGAGGAUGAUCAGCCACACUGGGACUGAGACACGGCCCAGACUCCUACGGGAGGCAGCAGUGGGGAAUCUUAGACAAUGGGGGCAACCCUGAUCUAGCCAUGCCGCGUGAGUGACGAAGGCCCUAGGGUCGUAAAGCUCUUUCGCCAGGGAAGAUAAUGACGGUACCUGGUAAAGAAGUCCCGGCUAACUCCGUGCCAGCAGCCGCGGUAAUACGGAGGGGACUAGCGUUGUUCGGAAUUACUGGGCGUAAAGCGCACGUAGGCGGGCUGUUAAGUCGGGGGUGAAAUCCUGGGGCUCAACCCCAGAACUGCCCUCGAUACUGGCAGCCUCGAGUCCGAGAGAGGUGAGUGGAAUUCCGAGUGUAGAGGUGAAAUUCGUAGAUAUUCGGAGGAACACCAGUGGCGAAGGCGGCUCACUGGCUCGGUACUGACGCUGA
This 693-nucleotide ribosomal RNA is filed under the name uncultured bacterium. RNAcentral describes it as "bacterial SSU rRNA". It matches the Rfam family "Bacterial small subunit ribosomal RNA", at positions 10 to 749 of the family's 1533-position model. The record is from RNAcentral.